ACAUACUCGGCGCUCGAAAAGGCUGGAGGCUCAUCAGUCCAAAUUGUUGUAUCGGAGACUGGUUGGCCAUCAGCUGGAGGACAAGCGACAUCAAUAGACAAUGCCAGGACUUACAACAAUAACCUGAUCAAGCAUGUCAAUGGGAAUUCUGGAACCCCAAAAAGGCCUGGAAGGGCUAUUGAGACUUACAUUUUUGAUUUGUUUGAUGAAGAUCAAAAGAGUCCAGAAUAUGAGAAGCAUUUUGGGCUCUUUCUUCCAAAUAGGCAGCCAAAGUACCCAAUCAGUUUCUAACUAGAUUGAGGAAUCAACUGUAUGACAGGAAUAAGGACAGAUAGACUCCAUCUGCUGUCUCUCCUGCUUUUAUAAAUUGUCAUCUCAAAUAAGGGUUGCUCUAAUAAUUUCUAGCCUUGGCAACGUAUGUGUGAACAAACACAAAUUUUUUGCUGCUGGAGCAAUUAAAUGUUGGUAGUUGCUAAAAUGUUUUACUACAUGUUUAGUUUCUAAACAUAGGUUAAUUACGAAAAUUGCUUGGAAUGGAUUAACCUAGACCAUCAUAUGAUCAUAACCAAACAAACAUCCAGCUACCUAAGUUUUUCUCCUUUUUCUUUUGUUUCAGGUUAGAGCUAUCAAAAUUUAGCAAGCAAAUGAGAAAAAAAAAAAAAAAAAGGUUUUGGUUCGUAGUAUCAGCAGUCAUAAUCUAGUUCUGCGUGUUUCAGUCAGCUUAAUUAGUCUACCGUAUGUUCAACUAAUCUUUCCAGUUCAUGGUUUCUCAUAUUUGUAUGUGACAUGCAGAUAUAGCAAGUUGCCAAAUUAGAACUUAGGAUUGAUCCAUUAUUGACAGUAAAAGUGUCAAAUAGCAAGAUCAUCAUAAAAAAAAAAAAGAAAAAGAAACCAUCAUAAAAAUAAUGUUUAGUUAAAUAUGAAUACUGAAAAUUUAAAAAUAUACAAUUAAACUAGUUUUUUUUGUUUGUUUGUUUGGUAUCACUUGUAAAUAUUGAGUAGUUGUAAAUUCUAAUUUGUUUAUAUUUGUUUAAAUAGUAAAGGUACUAGAUUAUAUGCGCCUUUUAUUGUGACAGCUGACAAGCGCAUCAUAAAAUAAAUAGGCAGUCUAAGUCACGCCGCCGCAAGGAUCGAACACUCGCUUCGUGCAGUGUUGAAAUUUUUUCAGACGAAAUGUUUGCAGCAAGAAAGGGGAGAGGCAAAUUAUUUUUCUAUAUGUGAUAGGUCCAUCGCCACCACAUGACGACGCUCAUAACGUUUUAAAAAUAAUCUAUUUUAUCCCCUCUAGUUUCAUAUAAAGUAAAAAUUUAAUAGAAUAUAACCUUUACGAUGUUAAUAGUUUUUUUUUUUUUUUUUUGUCAAACUUCAGCUGUAUUAUAUAAAUACGAUGUAAAAAUUUAAUAGAAUAUAACCUUUACGAUGUUAAUAGUUGAAAUAUCAAUAUUGUCCUCGUUUAAACAUUGAGUCGGACAUUGACCUAACCACUUUGUACAAAACUAUUGAAGGGUUAUGGAAAUAAAUAGAAAAAUCACAGAGAGUUUACUGGGUAUUAUAAUUUUGUCUCACGUAUUAUUUGUUUUACCGUGUUUAUUCAAUCGCCAUAAUCGUUGAUGCUUUUCAUCAUUUUUUACUUUACAUAGAACUACAGAGGGGUUAUAUCACUAUUUUGAAGGUUUAAGAGAAUUAUCUUACAUUAUUCAAAACCACAGCGAGAGUUAUGUGUAAAUUUACCCUUGUUCUUGAAAGCCGUAGAGCACUACUAAAUAAAAAGUCCAAGCAACAAGACUUAGCUAAUCUGAUUAUGAUACCGAAACAAACCAAGAACAACUAUUGGAACUUGUAAACUUGAGUUUAGUAAUCGGACGUGAUGUUCCAUGCCAUCCGAGACCCUCAAAACUGAAGUAGUCAAAGAUGGAGUACCAAAAUAGCCAAUAUAGUGAUGUUGACUGCUGAGUUUAUUAUUUCCUGUACGUAAAAUUAGUCUUGUACAUUGAACUGACAUGAGAAUACUGAAUUCAACUUUCACCAAAAAAACUUCUCAAAAAAUUUGCCUGCUACAAGCUUUUUUUAACAAUUUUAGUUACAAUAAUUUCUCAAAAUUUUUAAACGAUACACUUCAAAAUAUUCAAAAAUUUUCGAUUUUUACUCAUUAGCGAGUUGCAUGGUGAAAAUAUUUUUGAUUAGAUUGAUAGUCUAACAUUGAUUUAGGGGAUGAUGAUUGAUGAGGAUGACACUACUAAACACAAGCAUUUCUUAAAUGCACUUUUCUAAGAGGGAAAAAUUCUGUAAGUUCUUUUUGGCAUUUUUAGCUUUAGUUCCAAAUGUGAACUGAAAGGACAACUUCACGAGGCUUGAUGGAGCUGUAUUAGAUUAUACAUGGAUAACUACUCAGUUCUAGAAUAUACAAGGUGGCAUGGUCAAGACUGAGGACGGCAUGCAUGUUACCUGAUCAAAUGGCUCGCAAAUAGUAAUAACAAUAAUGUAAUCGCCAGUUCGGGUUUAAAUGCUCAAUUGUCCAUUUCCACUAUAUAUAUAUAUACUCACUAUUAUCCAGUCUACUUGAUAAAAUUUGCGGUGAAUUUGCAAGAAUGGGUGAGGCAAGUGAGGAGGUAAUUCUUUUAGACUUUUGGACUAGCAUGUAUGGCAUGAGGGCAAGAGUUGCACUAGAAGAAAAACAAAUCAAGUACGAGCACAAACAAGAGGAUCUAAUUGGCAACAAAAGUGAGUUGCUCUUGAGGAUGAAUCCAAUUCACAAGACAAUCCCGGUUCUGAUUCACGAUGGAAAACCCGUUUGUGAAUCCCUCAUUGCAGUGGAAUACAUUGAUGAGGUGUGGAAAGGUAAGGCUUCACUCUUGCCUUCUGAUCCUUAUGAGAGAGCUCAAGCCAGGUUUUGGGCUGAUUUUCUUGACAAAAAGGUAAGCAUGCAUCCUAUCAUCGGCAAAAUCUCUUUCAGCUAAUUUAAACAUUGCCACAAAUAUCAUUCCUGCCAUGUUGAUGAAAUUGAGUCUUAAUCUUUUCUGCGCUGACAGUGUAUGCAUUAGCAGGUAUAAAUAUACAUCACACGUCUAGAUUUAGGGGUUAAAAUUCCAAUUGAGAUUAUUUGUUGUGUAUCCAUGUACACACUUGUGGGAAAGAUGCCUUAAGAUGAUGAGAUAUAAUGUACUCCAAUUGCAGGUUUAUGAAUACGGUCGUCAAGUCACCUGGUCAAGAAAAGGAGAAGAGCCAGAAGCAGCAAAGAUUGGCUUGACAAACUCCAUUAAGACGCUGGAGGAGGAAGCCCUUGGAGACAAACCUUAUUUUGGGGGUGACAAGUUCGGGUAUCUUGACGUUGCUGUCAUUGGACUCUGCAGUUGGUUACAUACCUAUGAGAUUAUCUGCAACUUUAAUGCGGCGACUGAGUGCCCAAAGCUGGUGGCAUGGGCUAAGAGAUGCAUGGAAAGGGAUAGUGUCUCCAAGUCUCUUCCUGAACCCAAGAAGCUCUAUGAAGCCAUUUUGGGAUUUAAGAAGGUUUUUGGACUUGACUAAAUGUGAAGAAGAAUUAAGGGUUGUUGGAACUUUGUCCUGUGACAAUAAAAAAGAAUAUGCUCAAAUAUGUCAUUGUUCAACGUUUUUUUUUUAAUAUUACUAUGCCAUUUUGUGUUUGUAAUCCGUAAUCCCAAUUACAUUUUUGCGCUUAAUUUGAUGCAUCUAUGGAAGAACUAGUAAAUUCUUUCUGAUUUGUCAGCAGCAAUUUCUAUUAUUUUGAAACAUUGGCCAAGGACUAAUUAGGUGAAAGAAUAUUUUGAACUACUUUAUACAUACAACAAGUAGAGGAAUCAGCUAUGCAAAACUCGAAAGAGAAAAGAAAAGAGGAAACGAAUUCCUUUAAUACAUGUUUUCACUAAUUUCAUAGUUGUAAAAUUAUACAAUCACACUCCCACAGCAAGAUAAAUCCCCUACAAUUUUCAUUCCCAAUUGAAACAUAUACAAAUUAUUUUUGUUUUGCCAGUAAUAAACAGAGCGUUCACUCUGGACUUAUUUGCAACAUAAACUACACAAAGGAUUUUUUUAGUCAUGAGAAACGAAAUUGGUACUUUUGUUUCUUAAUCAAUCCCAUGUUUCUUCCUCAACUUCAAAGCAUACUCAUGAACCUUAUGAAAAUCAGCAAGGGACUUUGACACACUCGCCCUUUUCAUGCACCUUUUAGCCCAUGCCACGAUCUUGGGGCACUGCGUCUCUAUGUUGAAAUUUCCAAAAAUCUCGUAGGCAUAAAACCAACUGUAGAAAGGUAUUAGAGCUACAUCUAAGUACCCAAAGUUUUCACCUCCAAAGUAAGGCUUGUCUCCAAGUUCUCCUUCCAAAAUUUUGUAGGUCUCUAUGAAUUCCAUCUUGGCUGCCUCCAGCUCUUCUCCCUUUGUAGCCCAAGUUUUUCUUCCUACAGUAACAACCUGCGUCAAACAGUUCAAAAUUUAAUUUAAUAACACCAGCAGUAAUAGAUGUUAAUUGUUUAGAGCAUAACAUUAUCUAUUUGAAACGAAAGUGACGGAUUGCUAUCUUUUGCAGUUUUUGUAGAAAAAUAUAUUAUAGCGAUUUGAUAUAUAUAUGGUAAAAAGAUAAUUGAAAAAUGUAAAAAUUUUUUGAAAAAAAAUGAUAAUCCAAACAAGGUUAAGUCAAACAAUAAAAACACAGAAACAAAUUAAAUCUACAUUGAAGCUCACAAAAAAUAUUGGAAAAAUCGUUCAAAACGUCUCUCACAUUUUGUAAAAUGACUUUUUUCGUCCCUUACUUUUAAAAGUGUAUUUUUACGUCUCUUACAAAUUCACAUUGGUCAAAUUUGGUCCUUAUCUAGGUUUUCGACUAGUUUUUGGCCGGAAUUCAUCACAUGCCUUGCAUGUGAUCAUUUUUUAGGGGCAAAAUUAUCAAAUCAAAAUUUACAUAAUCCAUCUAUAGUCCCUUACAUUUCACAAAAUGAAUUGUUUCGUCCCUUACAUUUUACAGCAUGUGAUCAUUUUUUAGGGGCAAAAUUAUCAAAUCAAAAUUUACAUAAUCCAUCUAUAGUCCCUUACAUUUCACAAAAUGAAUUGUUUCGUCCCUUACAUUUUACAAAAUAAAUUUUUUCAUCCCUCAGAUUUCUCAAAAUGAAUUUUUUUAUCUCUCAUUGACCACAUGUACGAAUAAUUUUUAUUUUUUUAAAUUCAUGAAUAUAUCUAUUUGAUUCCAUCUAAAUAGUACAAGUAAUAUGUAAUAUAUCUCUAUUUGAUUUCACCUAAACAGAUCGAUAUAUACAUGGGUUUAAAUCUAAUAAUUUUGUUUUAAACCUAUAUAUAUAUAUAUAUAUAUAUAUAUAUAUAUAUAUAUAUAUAUAUAUGAUUUCACCAUGUGAAUCUAUUCAAUAUUUGUAAUCUUUUCUAUUUUAGUAAUAAUUCAUUUAUUGAGUUGUUUAAUAAGAGUAUCUAAUUAAUCGGUGUUAAUUCGAAUUCCAUAGUCAUGUUAUCAAAUUGCAGUUUAAAUUUGAAAUUUUUAUUCGCUACCUUUAAGACCAAUAGUUGAAUUUCUUACCUUAUGAUUAUUUUAAAAUUUGAAAGUGUCAAUUACUUACUUCUUUUUGUUAUACUUUUCCUUUGUUUAUUUUUUCUGUCUAAAUUUAAUUCGAUAUAAACACUUGAUAAUGUUUAGAAUUAAAUGUUUUCUUUGUUUUCAAUUUCGAGUAAAAGGAAUGAACAUGAGUAAAAAACUAAUAAUUUUUUUAAACCCCUGUAUAUAUCUAUUUUAAUUUCACAUAAAUAGUAUGUUUAGGCGAAAAUUAAAUAGAGAUAUAUUACAUGCUAUUCGUAUUGUCCAUGUGAGAUCAAAUAGAUAUACAAAUUAGUUUUAAAAAAAGUUAUUCAUACACAUGAACAAUGAAAAAUGAAAAUUUUUAUUUUGUAAAAUAUGGGGGAUGAAAAAAUUCAUUUUGUGAAAUGUGAGGGACGAAACAAUUCACUUUGUGAAAUGUGAGGGAUAAAAAAAAUUCAUUUUAUAAAAUGUGAGAGACUAUAAAUUAAAUUAUAUAAAUUUUGAUUUGACAAUUUUGCUCUUAAAAAUGAUCACAUGCAAGGCACGUAGUGGAUUCCUACAAAAAACUAGUCGGAAACCUAGAUAGGGAUUAAAUUUAAUCAAUAUGAAUUUGUAAGGGACGUAAAAGUACACUUUUAAAAGUAAGGGACGAAAAAAAUCAUUUUACAAAAUGUGAGGGACGUUUUGAACGAUUUUCCCAAAAAUAUUUAUGAGUGAGCAAUAAUAAAUUGACCUUGGUACCUUUUUAUCAACAAAGUCAGCCCAAAACCAAUGUUUUGAAAAUCGGACAGGAUCGGCCAGUUCGAUCGGUUAAACCACGAACCGGUUAUGCCUUCGAUCCGAUUCAAUUAGAAACCCAAAGAAUUGAUUGAAUUGGUCAAAAUAGAUCAAGAACUGGUUGAACCGGUCAAAAUCGAGAGGUUCAACCGAUUUUUAUUAAGUAUUUAUUUUUUAAAAUAAAUAUUUUAGUUUAUUCAAAAUUGUUAAUACUAAAAUGAAUAAAAAAAUUAUUAAAUCUUUGAACCGGAAUCGAACCGAUUGAACAAGUCAAGCUAUGAACUAAAAGAUUUUCCGAUUCACUUUCCGGUCCGGGUUUAAAAACAUUGCCCGGAACCUGGCUUGAGCUUUCCUGAAGGGGUCAGAUGGCAAGCAAGGAUUUUUAUCACGCCAUACUUCAUCUAUAUACUGAACAAUAAUUAUCGACAGAAAGCCCGGAAUUCAUAGCACGAAUUGCACCUAUCAUGGAUGCAAUUUUCUUGUGUUAUUACAUCAAAUAGUUCUUCUAGGAAAUUCUCAUCUUGAUUACACGUCUUCUUCUUGAUAACUACUGUUUGAUGAAUCGACAAAAUGUCAAUUUUCAAGUCGGAAGUUUAUGAAAUGCAUCUAACUAGUUCCGGUCGAGACGAAAUGCUUUCAUUUUACAUACAUCUCUCAGCAACAGAUAAUAUGAAACAAGUUUAGAAUUUGAUCCUAAUCGGUCUAAUAAAUCUCUCUCUCUCUCUCUCUCUCUGUGGAAAAAGGAAGAGACGAAGACUUUGACUUCGAGUCAAUGUUAUCAAAGGCCAAAGAAAUGAGAAUGUGGCAUGUUAGAAUUUAAUGAAUUGCGAAAAUUUCUUUCUUCCAUUAAAACUUCCAUGCCCGUUACGUCCAAUUUGGAUACAGGCCAUACAUAAUACAUGAAAGUGAAGUUUGCCUAGCUAAUUCAGAGUUGACCAAUUAUUUGGUUUGACUGAUUCUAGUCUUUCCCUCAAAGCCAAGCCAUGACCAGAACUAUUUUGAAUAAUCAUCCUUUUUGGUUUUGUUCACAACUCAUUUUCUGUUACCGUGUUUUGUUGGUUUAAGCCGUGUUUCCACAGAGUGAUUGACCUGCGGUGCAGAAGACUGAUCAAGUCAUCAAGUUAGAUUCUAACUUUUCUAUGCAUCUUCCUUCAUACCCUUUCUGUAAAAGGGGUGCUCAAUUUGUAGCUCAUCAAGUAGUACUGGAAUAUUGCUUGUUUCAUUAUCCAUGGCUGGUGAAAAACAACAAUUCUGAAUUCACGGCCACUAUGUUUGUUAUUGGGCUGCUGUUACUUGCAACAUUUGAUUAUACAGGUUUUCCUCUCUAUCCUGAAUUACAAUGCAAUGUAGCCUCUAAAAUCUAAAAUCUUGAUAUGCAGAGUGUUUGCAGAAUUAUAGAUCAAAAGUUUUGUAAAUGGCAUAUGAAAAGCCUAAAAUCAGACCUGGUGACACUAGCAAUUACUGGGGCUGGUAAGCCAUACUGUAGUCAGUUGUCAAAUGACUUUCACCAAUUAAUAAGUAAGUGGUUUCUCUACUUGUUCAGAAAAAGAGGGGAAAUGUGGAGGUAUUCAUUAUCAGUUUAUCCUACAAAAUGAAUGUAAAGCUUUGUUACAUAAUCAGCCCUGGUUUGCAGAAUGAGCUUAAUCAGGUCAAUCAAAUCAUUGUGCAUAUGAAAUUUGAUGCAGGGGCUCAAACAGGAGUUUGUUAUGGAAGGCUUGGGAGCGGACUUCCAUCUCCCGCAGAUGUUGUAGCCCUUUGCAAACAGAACAACAUCAAAAGAAUGCGAAUUUACGAUCCUGAUCAAUCCACACUUCAAGCCCUAGCAGGUUCAAAUAUUGAAGUCAUUCUUGGGGUUCCCAACACUGAUCUUCAGAAUGUUGCUGCAAGCCAAGAUAAUGCAAAUAAUUGGGUCAAAAACAAUGUCAUCAAUUAUCCUAAUGUCAAAUUCAGGUACAUUGCAGUUGGAAAUGAAAUCAGCCCACUAAAAUGCAUGGCUGGGUGCCCAGACUUUGUUCUCCCUGCCAUCCGAAACAUCUUCAACGCAAUUUCUGCAGCUGGGCUAGGAAACCAGAUCAAAGUUUCCACUGCUGUUGAAACUGGACUAAUUGGAAUUAGUUUUCCUCCAUCAGCUGGCACUUUCCAACCUCAAGUCCAAAUGUUUAUCAAUCCCAUAGUUCAGUUCUUAGCUAGCAAAGGCGCCCCAUUACUCGUUAACGUGCAUCUGUACUAUGUCUACAUAAACAAUCCCGAGAGCGUAGCUCUUGACUUUGCUCUUUUUACUGCUUCGGGCAUUACCCUACCAGAUGGUGUAAAGUAUCAAAAUCUUUUUGAUGUUAUCUUGGAUGCAAUAUACUCGGCCAUCGAAGGGGUCGGAGGGUCAUCUGUCGAAAUUGUUGUAUCAGAGACAGGCUGGCCAUCAGAUGGAGGAGGACAAGCUACAUCAAUUCACAAUGCCAGGACUUACAACAAUAACCUGAUUAAGCAUGUCAAUGGGAGUUCUGGAACCCCAAGAAGGCCUGGAAAAGCAAUUGAAACUUACAUUUUUAAUUUGUUUGAUGAAGAUCAAAAGAUUCCAGAAUAUGAGAAUCACUUUGGGAUCUUUCUUCCAAAUAAGAAGGGAAAGUACCCAAUCAGUUUCUAACUGGAUUGAGGAUUCAAGUGUAUAAAAGGAAUAAGGAUCGAUAGACUUCAUGUGUUGUCUUAAUUUAGCAAGCAUAGGUACAUUAUGUAAAUUGCUUGGAAUUAGAUUAACUUAGACCAUCGUAACCAAAUAAAUACAGCUACCUAAGUUUCUCUUUUCUUUUUUUUUUUUCCCAGGUUAGAGCUAUCUUAAUUUAGCAAGCAAAUGAGAAAAAAUUUGAUUUUGGCUCGUAGUAUCACCAAGCAUAUUUUAGUUCUGCGUGCUCCAAUCAGCUUAAUUAGUCUACCAUAUUUUCAACUAAUCUUUGCAUGUGACCUGCAGAUUUAGCAAAACAACAAAUUAGAACUUAAUUAGGAUUAAUCGAUUAUCAAUAGUAAAAGUAACAAAUAGCAUGAUCAUAAUCAAAUAAUGUUUAGUUAAAUAUGAAGAGUGAAAAUUUGAAAAUUUACAAUGAUACUGUUGUUUGGUAUUGCUUGUAAAUACUAUUAAGUAUUUGUAAGUUCUAGUUUAUUUAUACUCGUUUAAAUAGUAAAAGUACUAGAUUAUAUACGCCUUUAUUUUUCAUUUUUAUUUUCGGAUUUUUCUGUAUCAUGUGGUAAUGAGCCGAUUUUUUUUUUUUCCUCCUAACGUACUUACUUUGUACCAUCAACAAUGACAAUAGCAUAAUGGUAAUUUUCUACGGUACACUUUUAUUCUAUUUGUUCAAAUCCUCAUAUAAGAAAUUAUCAAAGUUAAUAUAAUGUUGUCGUUAAGAGCCAAGAAAAAAACUUAAAAAAAAAAUAUUGAUGGCAGCAAAAUUAUUAGAAAGAGUUAAUCGGGGAAACACACAACAUCUUUAGCCAAGUCAGACGGAUAAUGGUCACAUGAAGUGUUCAACUUCUGGAUGGCAAUGAGAAUGUUAUCGUUUUCAACUAAACAAAGUUAUCAAAGUCUGCAAAACUGCCAUACUCCACAACCUUCCUAGACUUGUGUUUUCCACAAAACAUAAUUCACUAAUUCAUGAAAUAAUGAAUUAAGUAUGACUUUUCACACUAUCAAAACUAAUUGUUUUCAAUAAUAACCCGCACCACUCGUGAGAUUUAACUUCAACACGUACAUAUUCUUACUGCUUAAAGGACUUUAGGAGUGGCUUAGCCUUAACUUAAUUCUUGGAUUCAUACAUGGAUUCAUACAUGUUUGGCAUGUAGUGAUAAAGACCUCUGGACUAGGAAAUCCUUAAAAGUGUGAAGGCUUCCAUAGUUUCUGUCGAUAUCUAUGUUUAACUGCUACUUUCGUAUAGAAUAUUCGCAUCCCAUAUUGACAUUUCAAUUGCCGUAAGCCUGGAAUUUAUAGAAUGAAUUGCGCCUGUCAGGGAUGCAAUUUUCUUGUGUUAUACAUCAAAUAGUUCUUCUAGGAAAAUCUCAUCUUGAUUACAUGUCUUCUUCUUGAUAACUACUGUUUGAUGAGUCGACAAAAUGGCAAUUUUCAAGUUGGAAGUUUAUGAAAUGCACCCAACUUGUUCCGGUCUAGAUGAAAUGCUUUCAUUUUACAUACGUCUCUCAGCAACAGAUACUAUGAAACAAGUUUAGAAUUGGUCCCAAUCGAUCUAAUAAAUCUCUCAUUUCCUCUCCCUGUGGAUAAAGAAGAGACGAAGACUUUGACUAGGAAUCAACGAGUGUGUUUGGAUAGAGUAUUAUUUUAAAUAAUUCCAGUAGCACUUUUUGUGAUGUCACGUAUACGAGAUAAAAAGGUGAUUGAAAAAAAAAAAGUGGAUUAGAGAAUGUGUUUAUUAUGCAAGUAAAAUAUUAUUUAAAAAAAUUUGCUAUCCAAAAUGUUGUCAAAGGCCAAACAAAUGAGAAUAUGGUGUAUUAGAAUUUAAUGAGAAGAAAAUUUCUGUCUUCCAUUAAAACUUCCUUGCCAGUUAGGUCCAAUGUGGAUAUGGUCCAUACAAUGAGAGUGAAGUUUACCUAACUAAUUUAGAGAUAACUAAACCAACUUUUGGGUUUGACUGAUUCUAGUCUUUCAUCUAAAGCCAAGCCAUGACUAGAUGGUUUUGUUCACAACUCAUUCUCUGUUUUCAUAUUCUGUAAUGUUACUGCAAACAUUCUUCCAGAGAUGGCACCUAAUUUUGUACUUAGUCAGAAAAAGAGGUUAUUCAUCUACUAUUGACAUGUAAUAAUAUUUCAAUGAUCAAUCCACCUUAUUCUUUACUUGAGCAGUAAUUGUUCUAGCUCCUCUUAGCCAAUCUGGUUAAUAUUCCUCCACUAAACAAUAAUUGCAGAAAUAACCAUCUAUUGAGUUGGUAGCCACCACAAAGGCCUUAAGUGUUUUUGUGGGGUGAGAAGUCAAAAGUUUCGAAUCUUGUCUCCUAUCAAAUGAUAUUUAACAUAUGACUUCUUCUAAAUCUAGCAGGUGCUUAACGCACCCGUCUGAUUUGAUGGUAAUUCAGUUCCAAUUGAUCCAUAGGAUCUAGUUGAACCUGUCUCUCUUCACUCCAAAAAAAAAAACCAUUAAUUGCAGAAAUGAAAAGUAAGAGUUGCACAUGAAAAAGUCACGAGCUAUAUAGUUUAAUUCCUCUCUAGUAAGGACUCAUAGCCAUGGCUCCAUUAGAUGCAAUUCAGUCCUCAGGAACUGGAAGUUGUUAUACGGUGGCAACCACGUUGCAGGCCCUCUAACCAAAAGUUCUACCAUGUAACAAGUCAUACCCUUUGCACACCAAGUCUUGGAAACCAAAAUAGGAAGAAACUACAUGUAAUUGGACGUGCAGAGUUUCUUGUGAAGGAGUACUUCUGUUUAGCAUAUGCUGCUGCAAUUAUGGUCUAAGACCAUAUUUCCAGUAAAAUAAGCUGAUUUUCAAAGUGCAUUAAAACAUUAGGGCGGCAUAUAAGAUUAUUAGUGAUUGAUUGAGGAAGUCAUUCUCAUCAAGGACAUAGAAAAAUGUUUGAAAAUUCAAAAUUUAACACCUGGGCAGGCGAAUGACGUGCUCUAGAAAUUAGCCACCCUGCAACAGCGAUGUUUCCACAGAGUGAUUGUCCUGAAGUGCAGUAGACUUGUCAAGUCAUCAAGAUUUUAGAUCCUGACUUUUACUUUUCUAUGCAUCUUCCUUCAUUUCCUCUCAAUAAAAGGGGUGCUUAAUUUGCAGUUCAUCAAGUAGUAUUAAGUAGUACUGGAAUAUUGCUCGUUUCAUUAUCCAUGGCUGGCGCAGAACAACAAUUCAAGGCCGCUAUGUUUGUUAUUGGGCUGCUGCUACUUGCGACACUUGAUUAUACAGGUUUUCCUCUCUAUCCUGAAGUACAAAGCAAUGUAGCGUCUAAAAUCUAAAAUCUUAAUAUGCAGAAUGUUUGCAGAAUUAUAGAUCAAAAGUUUUGUGAAUGGCAUAUGAAAGUCUAAAACCAGACCCGGCAACAUUAUCGAUUACUAGGGCUGCUAAGCCAUACUUUAAUCAGAUAUUAAAUGACUUUAACUUAUUAAUAAGUGCUUUCUUUGCUUGUUCGAAAAAUGGGGAAACUGUGGAACUUUUCAUUAUCAGUUUAUCCUACAAAAUGAAUGUAAACCUUUCUUACUAAAUCAGCCCUGGUUUGCAGACUGAACUAAAUCAGGUCAAUCUAAUCAUUGUGCAUAUGAAAUUUGAUGCAGGGGCUCAAACAGGCGUUUGCUAUGGAAGGCUUGGGAGUAAUCUUCCAUCUCCAGCAGAUGUUGUAGCCCUUUGCAACCAGAACAACAUCAAAAGAAUGCGAAUCUACGAUCCUGAUCAAUCCACUCUUCAAGCCCUAGGAGGUUCAAAUAUUGAAGUCAUUCUUGGGGUUCCCAACACUGAUCUUCAGAACGUUGCUGCAAGCCAAGAUAAUGCAAAUACUUGGGUUCAAAACAAUGUAAGGAAUUAUCCCAAUGUCAAAUUCAGGUACAUCGCAGUUGGAAAUGAAGUCAGCCCAAUAAAGGGCGACACAGCUCAAUACGCAAACUUUCUUCUCCCUGCCAUCCAAAACAUCUUCAACGCAAUUUCUGCGGCAGGGCUAGGCAUCAAAGUUUCCACUGCUGUUGAAACUGAACUAGUUGGAAAUAAUUUUCCUCCAUCAGGUGGCACUUUCAAACCUGAAGUCCAGAAUUUUAUCAAUCCCAUUGUUCAGUUCUUAGCUAGCAAGGGCGCCCCAUUACUCGUUAACGUGUAUCCAUACUUUGCCUACAUAUUCAAUUCCCAGAGCAUAGCUCUUGAAUAUGCUCUUUUUACAUCUUCGGGCAUUACCACACCAGAUGGUGUGAAGUAUCAAAAUCUUCUUGAUGCUCUCUUGGAUGCAACAUACUCAGCGCUCGAAAGGGCCGGAGGCCAAUCUGUCGAAAUUGUUGUAUCAGAAACCGGUUGGCCAUCAGAUGGAGGAGGACAAGCGACAUCAAUAGACAAUGCCAGGACUUACAACACUAACCUGAUUGGGCAUGUCAAUGGGAAUUCUGGAACCCCAAAAAGGCCUGGAAGAGCUAUUGAGACUUACAUUUUUGAUUUGUUUGAUGAAGAUCAAAAGAGUCCAGACUAUGAGAAGCAUUUUGGGCUCUUUCUUCCAAAUAGGCAGCCAAAGUACCCAAUCAGCUUCUAACUAGAUUGAGAAAUUAUCUAGUGUAUAACAAGAAUAAGAAUAAGAAUCCAUAGGCUCCACAUGUUAUCCCUUGCUUAUAU
Molecule: long non-coding RNA, 13601 nt
Filed under: Coffea arabica (coffee)
Lineage: Eukaryota; Viridiplantae; Streptophyta; Magnoliopsida; Gentianales; Rubiaceae
Description: long non-coding RNA (CARA_LNC004125)
Source: RNAcentral